CCUACGGGUGGCUGCAGUGGGGAAUAUUGGACAAUGGGCGAAAGCCUGAUCCAGCCAUGCCGCGUGUGUGAAGAAGGCCUUCGGGUUGUAAAGCACUUUCAGUGGGGAAGAAAGCCUUGGGGCUAAUACCCUCGAGGAAGGACAUCACCCACAGAAGAAGCACCGGCUAACUCCGUGCCAGCAGCCGCGGUAAUACGGAGGGUGCGAGCGUUAAUCGGAAUUACUGGGCGUAAAGCGCGCGUAGGCGGUCUGUAAGCCGGUUGUGAAAGCCCCGGGCUCAACCUGGGAACGGCAUCCGGAACUGUCAGGGUAGAGUGCAGGAGAGGAAGGUAGAAUUCCCGGUGUAGCGGUGAAAUGCGUAGAGAUCGGGAGGAAUACCAGUGGCGAAGGCGGCCUUCUGGACUGACACUGACGCUGAGGUGCGAAAGCGUGGGUAGCAAACAGGAUUAGAUACCCGAGUAGUC
This 464-nucleotide ribosomal RNA is filed under the name Vreelandella stevensii. RNAcentral's name for it is "partial 16S ribosomal RNA". It matches the Rfam family "Bacterial small subunit ribosomal RNA", at positions 338 to 795 of the family's 1533-position model. The record is from RNAcentral. Lineage: Bacteria; Pseudomonadati; Pseudomonadota; Gammaproteobacteria; Oceanospirillales; Halomonadaceae.